AAACUGGUUUGUGGAAAUCGAAAACCACCAGCCAAAACUGAAUUUCUACUAGUCUGUGACUGGUUGGCUGAGCUCUAAUAUUUGUGAAAGUUCCAUCCUUCUCAGGUUUUUACAAUGAUUACUUUUUCCCGAUAAUUUUCAAAUUCGAUCUUACGCUACCUCUUUGCACUCUUCGUUGCUUUGCGGAGAAAAUUUGAUAUCAGUUUAUUGAUUUUGGUCUCCUACCUAUCCGAGGAACUUUUCUUUUUUCAAAAUAUGUGGCUAAAUAUUUAUUCAGUUUAGAAAUAUAAUCCGCUAAAAUGCUUAGGAUUGAAACUUGGAAAUGAUAGAGAAAACACCCUAUAAUAACUUUCACUUCUUGAUUGCUGUAUGGUAAAUUAAUAUUGUAAGGAGAAGCUACAUUUCCAUCACUUCUUUGACGGCAAGCCAGCUGAUUCACUGAGAAAAAAGAGUUAAAAAGUAAUGUUGCCCUCAGACAAGGAAGAAAACAGCUACUUCCCUAAAAAGUUUAUGGACUCCAACAUUGUCAGUUUUUAUUUUUACCUUUUUCAGGUUUACUUCUUUGUUAAUUCUUUUCCACGGUAACCAGAAAAGAGUUGUAAUGAAUAACGCUGCAGAAAUCCUAAAAUCAGUCCAGAUAGGUUUAGAUGAUGCCAUAUUUCUUCUCAAGACUGAUCGUGGCCCACAUGCGACCCAGUUAUGCAAUGAAUGUGUAAUUCUUCUUAAAAACCUUGACUCUGGUAUUCACCUUGAUAUUUACGAUGUGAUAUUCAAUGCGUACAACGCCAUCUCUGGUUUCAAACGUGCGGAAAGAUAUGCUGAGAAACUUCUUUACACGUUCAUCCACGCUGAAAGACUAACCAUACAACUAGGUGACAAACUUAAAGCACAGGGCCGGUUUGUAGAGGCAAAGCAAUGUUUCAAAAGCGCACUCACAACCAUGCAAACGAUUGGCCACAAAAGAGAAGAAGCAAUGGCUCAUGAACGACUUGGAAAGGUAUGUGAGCGCCUCGCUGAAAUGCAGGAGGCAAAAAUACACAUUGAGAAAGCACUUGCAAUCGCGAUAGAAAUUGGCGACAAACAAGGAGAAGAAAUAAGAUACGGGAACCUCGGAUCUCUGUUGUAUUCCCUUUCCGAAUAUCAGAAGGCUGUAGUAUGUCACGAGAAAGCACUGGCCAUCGCGACAGAAAUUGGCGACAGACCAGGAGAAGGAGCAGUAUACGGGAAACUCGGAAUUGUGUUUUUGUUCCCUUGGAGAAUAUCAGAAAGCUAAAGAAUAUAACGAGAAAGCACUUGUCAUCGCGACAGAAAUUUGCAACAGACAAGGAGAAGGAACAUUAUACGGGAACCUCGGAGCUAUGUUUUGUUCCCUUAGCGAAUAUCAGAAGGCUAAAGAAUAACAAGAGAAAGCACUUGCCAUCGCGAUAGAAAUUCGCGACAGAAAAAAAGAAGGAACAAGUUAUGGGAACCUCGGAACUGUGUUGUAUUCCCUUGGCGAAUACCAAAAGGCUAAAGAAUAUAACGAGAUAGCACUUGCCAUCGCAAUAGAAAUUGGCGACAGAAGAGGAGAAGGAUUAUUAUACGGGAACCUCGGUAUUGUGUUUUGUUCCCUUAGCGAAUAACAGAAGGCUAAAGAAUAUCAAGAGAAAGCACUUGCCAUCGCGAUAGAAAUUCGCGACAGACGAAAAGAAGGAACACUUUAUGGGAACCUCGGAUCUGUGUUGUAUUUCCUUGGCGAAUACCAGAAGGCUAAAGAAUAUCUAGAGCAAGCACUUGCCAUCGCGAUAGAAAUUGGCGUCAGAAAAGGAGAAGGAUUAUUAUACGGGAACCUCGGAACUGGUUUUAUUCACCGUGGAGAAUAUCAGAAAGCUAAAGAAUAUCAAGAGAUAUCACUUGCCAUCGCGAUAGAAAUUGGCGACAAACAAGGAGAUGGAGCUAGGUACGGGAACCUCGGAACAGUGUUUCAUUCCCUAGGCGAAAAUCAGAAGGCUAUAGAAUAUCACGAGAAAUCACUUGCCAUCGCGAAAGAAAUUCGUGACAGACGAAGAGAAGGAACAAGUUAUGGGAACCUCGGAGCUGUGUUUCAUUCCCUUACCGAUUAUCAGAUGGCUAAAGAACAUUACGAGAAAUCGCUUGCCAUCGCGAAAGAAAUUGGCGACAGAAAAGGAGAAGAAACAAGGCACCAGAACCUCGGAGCUGUGGUUGAAUCUUUUGGCGAGUAUCAGAAAGCUAAAGAAUAUCACGAGAGAGCACUUGCCCUCGCGAUAGAAAUUGGCGACAUACAGGGUGAAUGUGCAGCAUACCAUUGUCUUGGAAAUGUUUAUUUUCAUUUCCGAAAAAAUCGGCAAGCUAAAGAAUAUUUGGACAGAGCAGUUGGCAGCAGUAUAGCAAUUGGUGACAGAUUAGGAGAAGCCUGCGUUCUUGUGAGUUUGGCAACUGUAUUUGCUUCUAUGAAUGACAAUCAGAAAGCAAAAGAACAUUGAGAGAAGGCUCUUACCAUCAUCAGAGAAGCUGGCCAUAGAAAUAUCGAAGCACGUGUUUACAUAAACCUUGGCAAUAUAUACCAAUUACUUGGUGAACGUGGCAAGGCAGAAGAUUGUUUAGAGAAAGCUUAGUCCAUAAGCAGCCAAACUGGAGACAAAAUGGCUGAGUUUAAAUGCUUUCUCUUUCUUCCUAAGUUAAAGAUAUCGCAAGGGGAACUUGAGGAGGCAAAGAAAUAUCUUCUACAAAGUUUAGGAAAAUACGAACAAAUGAACACUCUUCUGAAAGAAAGCAGUAAACUUAAAAUGUCUCUUUUCGAGGAACACGGUACUUUUAUCUAUCAGUUACUCAGUUCCUUGCUUUGCCUUAUUGGAAAAUUUCGAGAUGCUCUCUAUCUCGAGGAACUGGGACGAGCACGAGUCCUCGCAGAAUCAAUGGCAGACAAAUACUCCGCGGAAAGCCACAUCUCAGCUGAUCCACAUAAAUGAUUCGGGAUUGAAAAAAUCGUGAAAAGAGAAAGUAACUAUGUUUUUAUGCACAUUUCGUAUGCACAGCGGUACGUUCUUUUUUGGGUAUUGAAAGCAAAUGGAGACACUUGCUUUCGACAAACAGAAGCGAAAGUAAACACUCUUGAUGCUGAGCAAGUUUGCGAUGUGGAAGGAAUUUUCAAAAAGUGCGCCGCUGGCUUUGGCGUUUUACCCACAGCGAACUGCGAAGAUCGAUCUCUGUAUGACGGCGUGACGACAUCUCUUCAUAAAGAGAAUCGAGCAAAUUUGCGAGGUGAACAAAUCAAUGAUACCGAAAGAAUUCAUAAUUUGUGCUACAAAUGGAUUGUCGCGCCUGUGGCAGAUUUACUUACAGAGCCUGAAAUCAUCAUUGUGCCGGAUCGUUUUUCGUAUCGAGUCCCGUUUGCUGCCCUGCGUGAUGAACCGGCCGGAAAGUGUUUAUCGGAGAAGUACAGAAUACGCAUCGUCCCUUCAAUAACGACUCUCCGUGUCAUUGAAGAGAGUCCAGUGGGCUAUCACAGUCAAACUGAUGCACUGGUAGUGGGUAAUCCUACGGUUGGCGAAGUGCAUUACAAUGGACGAGUCAUUAACGUUACACCAUUGUUCUGUGCAAGUAAGGAAGCAGAGAUGGUUGGUCGAUUGAUGGGCGUUCAGCCUUUAACAGGAAGUCACGCAACAAAGCAGGCGGUACUUCGAGAAAUGCCUCUGGUGAGUCUGAUACAUCUUGCCGCACAUGGAAAUGCUAAUAGAGGAGAGAUUACCCUCUCUCCUCAACGUAAUACUAACAGUGCCCAGUGUACUGCUAAAAGUACUCCAAAAGAGGAAGACUACCUCCUGACAAUGUCCGACAUUCAAGGAGUACAAGUGCGAGCUAAACUGGUUGUACUCAGCUGUUGUCUCAGUGGGCGUGGAUUAGUUAAAAAGGAAGGAGUUAUUGGAAUCGCUCGAGCAUUCUUAGCAUCUGGUGCACGUUCAGUGUUGGUAGCAUCGUGGGCUAUAGAAGACGAAGCAACGGCGAAGCUCAUGGAGCAUUUCUAUAAACACCUUGUUCGUGGAGAAAGUGCCAGUGAAUCUCUUCACCAAGCCGUUCAAUGGUUGAGAAGCAAUGGGUUCCCCAAAGCUUCCCAAUGGGCUCCCUUUGUGCUGAUAGGGGAUAACGUGACGUUUAAUUUUGUGAAAAAAGGGAAAGAAGAAAUCAGUGAGGACAACAAAGAGGCAGAGAGAGGAACAGAGUGACUACUGAUCCUGCUCAAAGAUUGUUCUUCCCAUACAAUACCUAUAAACAGACACUGGUAUUACUUUGCGUAGACAUUUUUAGUUUGUUUCAAAGUCAAGAAGUCGUUUUUGCAUGCUUUUGUCAACACGGUUGAAUCGAAAAGUGAGCGACAAUUAAGUAUAUCAAUAGGGAACUAAAAUUAAAUUGGGAUGGACAAAAUGAACGCAGCAAAUUAGGUAAAUGUUUAAAAAUGUGAGAAUGUUGGCGAAGUUUCGUCACGACUCAAAAUUAUUCCUUGAAUAAUACCACCAUGUUCACCAAAGAGUGAUAAAAACUGUUCGCAGGUGCUGCAGAUGAUAGCAUGACAAACAAACCGGAGAGGGAUAAAAACUGUUCGCAGGUGCUGCAGAUGAUAGCAUGACAAACAAACCGGAGAGGGAUAAAAACUGUUCGCAGGUGCUGCAGAUGAUAGCAUGACAAACAAACCGGAGAGGGAUAAAAAACGUUCAGACACUAAAGAAACAAUCAAACAGAAAGGAGGAGAAACAGUGCGCGAGAUACCAACGCAAACAUAAGUCAGAAAAGAGAACAUAGUAAAAUAAGCAAAAAUGACUAAAAGCAUAGGAUAAAAACGUCGCCCUAUAUAUCGGAAGUGACUGCAUCGCGAGACAAACGAUAAAUACUUAGGAACUCUUGUACUUUCAAACUGUCAAUGUAAGGUUAAGUUUAAGUUUAAGU
This 4941-nucleotide unclassified non-coding RNA is filed under the name Stylophora pistillata. RNAcentral's name for it is "tetratricopeptide repeat protein 28-like, transcript variant X1". Lineage: Eukaryota; Metazoa; Cnidaria; Anthozoa; Scleractinia; Pocilloporidae. The record is from RNAcentral.